CCCAAUCUGCUCAAUCCACUUUAUUCCACUACCAAAUUAUUUGUUUUUAAGGUCAAAGUUUGGUUUUCCCAAAAGCAGUGAUUCUAUCAAUCUUACACUUACCCAUACACAGACAUAUACUACCAGAAUAGGACUCCUGACAAAUAUUCCUACAUGAAUCCUUUGCUUAGAAUCCAUUACACACACGGAAAAUCACCAUGAUCGACUUGUUGGAAGACGUACAACUUAUUUCAUGAUGUACGACAAGAAAAUGGAGUUGGAGGGCUAGAUCACAGAACAUAAAACAUGUUUGACAAAAUGGAAUAGAGAUAUAGAUGAACUUAGUUAUGCUCUAUGUACCUGUUCUUUUUUAAUCUUAGUGAUAUCUAGGUUAGCUUGUGCACACCUCGACUAUUCCAUCAGGUACCUACUACCCCCACCAGGACAGGUAUUGGAUAACUAACCCAUCAAGGCUUAGGAAGAUGAAAAGAAAUCACCUAGUGUUUUUUUGCUUCCACUGGAAUUUCAACCUGAAACCUCAUGAUUCUCCCACCACUUCAUUGGUCGCUAGUCACACCCUUGGGUAAUUAUCUACUUGUUCUUGUUCUACUAUUAAUCGGAAACAACCUUUCUACUUCUCCUGAAGUAGUGGUAUGGACUGCGUACAUCUUAACCCCCAGACCCCACC
This 667-nucleotide long non-coding RNA is filed under the name Capsicum annuum. RNAcentral describes it as "long non-coding RNA (CANN_LNC009780)". Lineage: Eukaryota; Viridiplantae; Streptophyta; Magnoliopsida; Solanales; Solanaceae. The record is from RNAcentral.